UACGAAGGGGGCUAGCGUUGCUCGGAAUCACUGGGCGUAAAGCGCACGUAGGCGGAUUGCUAAGUCAGGGGUGAAAUCCUGGAGCUCAACUCCAGAACUGCCCUUGAUACUGGCGAUCUUGAGUCCGGGAGAGGUGAGUGGAACUGCGAGUGUAGAGGUGAAAUUCGUAGAUAUUCGCAAGAACACCAGUGGCGAAGGCGGCUCACUGGCCCGGUACUGACGCUGAGGUGCGAAAGCGUGGGGAGCAAACAGG
RNAcentral lists this ribosomal RNA (253 nucleotides) under uncultured bacterium. Its description in RNAcentral is "partial 16S ribosomal RNA". It matches the Rfam family "Bacterial small subunit ribosomal RNA", at positions 524 to 776 of the family's 1533-position model. The record is from RNAcentral.